CGCGGUGUAGCUUAAUGGAAAAGCGAACGACCGAUAAUCGUUAGACUGAAAGUUCGAUUCUUUCCGCCGCGA
RNAcentral lists this transfer RNA (72 nucleotides) under Acidobacteriota bacterium. RNAcentral's name for it is "tRNA-Ile". It matches the Rfam family "tRNA". Rfam says of the family: Transfer RNA (tRNA) molecules are approximately 80 nucleotides in length. Their secondary structure includes four short double-helical elements and three loops (D, anti-codon, and T loops). The record is from RNAcentral. Lineage: Bacteria; Pseudomonadati; Acidobacteriota.